This 591-nucleotide long non-coding RNA is filed under the name Ananas comosus (pineapple). RNAcentral describes it as "long non-coding RNA (ACOM_LNC009374)". Lineage: Eukaryota; Viridiplantae; Streptophyta; Magnoliopsida; Poales; Bromeliaceae. The record is from RNAcentral.
UGUUUUUAUUUUAAAAUUACAUAUGAUAUUAUGAUGUGAUGGGCCAAGUCUGACUACUAUACUUUUAUGAGUAUAGAUUUUUUUUGUAUUCAUAAAUUUUCGGCCAUUAGAUGUAUCAUUUAGACUAUUUUCAUCCAUUAGAUCAUAUUAUUCAACCAAUCAUCCACUCAAAUUUAGGAAAUCACUAUUAUCCUAACUGUGAACCACUAUCAUCCUAAUCAUACAUCUCUUCAUCCAACGGUCGAAAACUUAUGAAUAUAAAGGGGUCUAUACUCAUAAGAGUAUAGUAGCCCUAGCCGGCCCAAAUAUUAAUUUAUUUAAUUCCCUUUUUUACUCAAACAAACAAUAUACUUUUUCUAGUUAAUCAAACCUUUAAACUAAGGCUUCUUCUGGAAUUGCGGGAUGAUUGCGUUACGUGUGGUUAUUAUAUAUUUUCUGCGAUCCCACCGAAAAAUGCAGAAGCAUAUUCAUAUAUACUUUUUUCCUAACUCCAUUUUAUCUAACAGCGUUAGAUAGAUCUCAAUACCAAACUAAGCCUAAAAGUAAGAUUACAUAAGUGAAUAUUUGAAUGGUCAUUAAUAGAUUUAGUUG